GAGGAGCCAGAUCCAUGCUGCAGCUGUCUGUGGCCUGCAGCCACCUGCGUCUAGCUGUUACAAGCCGGACACGCCUCUGCAUCUACUACAGCUACGGCAUACUACCCAUUCUGCCCCUUUGUCUGUCUGCAGGGUUCGAUCUAAAAUGGCUGUAUGGUCUCAGGUCCUGGAGGGCUCCUGAAGAUAAUAACAGGACAUUCAGGCUGGCUGUUAAACCUCCAAAGAAUCUCUGGCAUUGCUGAAGCAUUUCUGCAGUGGAUAUGCAGCAGACAUCGUGUCUACGUUCCCUGUUGAUUUUGUAUUGUUUAUUAAUGUAGUGUCUCUAGUCUUUUGUCUAGUGCUGUGGCUUUCGUAUACC
This 358-nucleotide long non-coding RNA is filed under the name Salmo salar (Atlantic salmon). RNAcentral's name for it is "lncRNA (ENSSSAG00000116682.1, ENSSSAG00020081376.1, ENSSSAG00075059265.1)". The record is from RNAcentral. Lineage: Eukaryota; Metazoa; Chordata; Actinopteri; Salmoniformes; Salmonidae.